CCUACGGGUGGCUGCAGUGGGGAAUAUUGGACAAUGGGGGGAACCCUGAUCCAGCCAUGCCGCGUGUGUGAAGAAGGCCCUCGGGUUGUAAAGCACUUUCAGUGAGGAAGAACGCCUGGUGGUUAAUACCCAUCAGGAAAGACAUCACUCACAGAAGAAGCACCGGCUAACUCCGUGCCAGCAGCCGCGGUAAUACGGAGGGUGCGAGCGUUAAUCGGAAUUACUGGGCGUAAAGCGCGCGUAGGUGGCUUGAUAAGCCGGUUGUGAAAGCCCCGGGCUCAACCUGGGAACGGCAUCCGGAACUGUCAAGCUAGAGUGCAGGAGAGGAAGGUAGAAUUCCCGGUGUAGCGGUGAAAUGCGUAGAGAUCGGGAGGAAUACCAGUGGCGAAGGCGGCCUUCUGGACUGACACUGACACUGAGGUGCGAAAGCGUGGGUAGCAAUCAGGAUUAGAUACCCCUGUAGUC
Molecule: ribosomal RNA, 465 nt
Filed under: Vreelandella stevensii
Lineage: Bacteria; Pseudomonadati; Pseudomonadota; Gammaproteobacteria; Oceanospirillales; Halomonadaceae
Description: partial 16S ribosomal RNA
Rfam family: Bacterial small subunit ribosomal RNA
Source: RNAcentral